GUGCACUUAGCUCAGUGGUUAGAGCUUCACUCUUGAAUGUUGAGUUUUGCAGGUUCAAUUCCUGUAGUACACA
RNAcentral lists this transfer RNA (73 nucleotides) under Phakopsora pachyrhizi. Its description in RNAcentral is "tRNA-Ser". It matches the Rfam family "tRNA". From Rfam's summary of the family: Transfer RNA (tRNA) molecules are approximately 80 nucleotides in length. Lineage: Eukaryota; Fungi; Basidiomycota; Pucciniomycetes; Pucciniales; Phakopsoraceae. The record is from RNAcentral.